GGUAGAGUAACGCGUGAGUAACCUGCCUUACACAAGGGGAUAGCCUUUGGAAACGAAGAAUAAUACCCUAUAAAACCAUAAAAGCACAUGCUAGAAUGGUCAAAGUGAUAGCGGUGUAAGAUGGACUUGCGUCUGAUUAGCUAGUUGGUGAGAUAAAAGCUCACCAAGGCAACGAUCAGUAGCCGGCUUGAGAGAGUGUACGGCCACAUUGGGACUGAGAUACGGCCCAG
RNAcentral lists this ribosomal RNA (230 nucleotides) under uncultured Eubacteriales bacterium. Its description in RNAcentral is "uncultured Clostridiales bacterium partial 16S ribosomal RNA". It matches the Rfam family "Bacterial small subunit ribosomal RNA", at positions 105 to 334 of the family's 1533-position model. Lineage: Bacteria; Bacillati; Bacillota; Clostridia; Eubacteriales. The record is from RNAcentral.